RNAcentral lists this ribosomal RNA (332 nucleotides) under uncultured bacterium. RNAcentral describes it as "bacterial SSU rRNA". It matches the Rfam family "Bacterial small subunit ribosomal RNA", at positions 8 to 334 of the family's 1533-position model. The record is from RNAcentral.
AGGGUUUGAUUAUGGCUCAGGACGAACGCUGGCGGCGUGCCUAACACAUGCAAGUCGAACGGACUUAGAGGUGCUUGCACCUCGAAAGUUAGUGGCGGACGGGUGAGUAACGCGUGAGUAACCUGCCUUACAGAGGGGGAUAACGUCUGGAAACGGACGCUAAUACCGCAUAACAUAUUGAUAUGGCAUCAUGUUGAUAUCAAAGGGAAUAACCGCUGUAAGAUGGACUCGCGUCUGAUUAGCUAGUUGGUAAGGUAACGGCUUACCAAGGCGACGAUCAGUAGCCGAACUGAGAGGUUGAUCGGCCACAUUGGGACUGAGACACGGCCCAG